Molecule: ribosomal RNA, 497 nt
Filed under: uncultured bacterium
Lineage: Bacteria
Description: partial 16S ribosomal RNA
Rfam family: Bacterial small subunit ribosomal RNA
Source: RNAcentral
AACGAACGCUGGCGGCGUGCCUAAUACAUGCAAGUAGAACGCUGAAGAGAGGAGCUUGCUCUUCUUGGAUGAGUUGCGAACGGGUGAGUAACGCGUAGGUAACCUGCCUUGUAGCGGGGGAUAACUAUUGGAAACGAUAGCUAAUACCGCAUAACAAUGGAUGACACAUGUCAUUUAUUUGAAAGGGGCAAUUGCUCCACUACAAGAUGGACCUGCGUUGUAUUAGCUAGUAGGUGAGGUAAUGGCUCACCUAGGCGACGAUACAUAGCCGACCUGAGAGGGUGAUCGGCCACACUGGGACUGAGACACGGCCCAGACUCCUACGGGAGGCAGCAGUAGGGAAUCUUCGGCAAUGGGGGCAACCCUGACCGAGCAACGCCGCGUGAGUGAAGAAGGUUUUCGGAUCGUAAAGCUCUGUUGUAAGUCAAGAACGGGUGUGAGAGUGGAAAGUUCACACUGUGACGGUAGCUUACCAGAAAGGGACGGCUAACUACGUG